GACGAACGCUGGCGGCGUGCCUAAUACAUGCAAGUUGAGCGAUGAAGAUUGGUGCUUGCACCAAUUUGAAGAGCAGCGAACGGGUGAGUAACGCGUGGGGAAUCUGCCUUUGAGCGGGGGACAACAUUUGGAAACGAAUGCUAAUACCGCAUAAUAACUUUAAACAUAAGUUUUAAGUUUGAAAGAUGCAAUUGCAUCACUCAAAGAUGAUCCCGCGUUGUAUUAGCUAGUUGGUGAGGUAAAGGCUCACCAAGGCGAUGAUACAUAGCCGACCUGAGAGGGUGAUCAGCCACAUUGGGACUGAGACACGGCCCAAACUCCUACGGGAGGCAGCAGUAGGGAAUCUUCGGCAAUGGACGAAAGUCUGACCGAGCAACGCCGCGUGAGUGAAGAAGGUUUUCGGAUCGUAAAACUCUGUUGGUAGAGAAGAACGUUGGUGAGAGUGGAAAGCUCAUCAAGUGACGGUAACUACCCAGAAAGGGACGGCUAACUACGUG
RNAcentral lists this ribosomal RNA (497 nucleotides) under uncultured bacterium. RNAcentral's name for it is "partial 16S ribosomal RNA". It matches the Rfam family "Bacterial small subunit ribosomal RNA", at positions 28 to 507 of the family's 1533-position model. The record is from RNAcentral.